AGAGUUUGAUUAUGGCUCAGGAUGAACGCUAGCUACAGGCUUAACACAUGCAAGUCGUGGGGCAGCAUGGUGUGCUGCAACAACCGAUGGCGACCGGCGCACGGGUGAGUAACGCGUAUCCAACCUGGCCCUUAGUAGGGGAUAGCCCGGCGAAAGUCGGAUUAAUACCCUAUGUUCUUUACAUCAGACAUCUAACGUAAAGCAAAGAUUUAUCGCUAGGGGAUGGGGAUGCGUCCGAUUAGCUUGCCGGCGGGGUAACGGCCCACCGGGGCGACGAUCGGUAGGGGUUCUGAGAGGAAGGUCCCCCACAUUGGAACUGAGACACGGUCCAAACUCCUACGGGAGGCAGCAGUGAGGAAUAUUGGUCAAUGGGCGAGAGCCUGAACCAGCCAAAGUAGCGUGAGGGAUGACGGCCCUACGGGUUGUAAACCUCUUUUGUACGGGAAUAAAGUGCGCCACGCGUGGCGUUUUGUAUGUACCGUAAGAAUAAGGACCGGCUAAUUCCGUGCCAGCAGCGGC
This 519-nucleotide ribosomal RNA is filed under the name uncultured bacterium. RNAcentral's name for it is "bacterial SSU rRNA". It matches the Rfam family "Bacterial small subunit ribosomal RNA", at positions 8 to 518 of the family's 1533-position model. The record is from RNAcentral.